RNAcentral lists this ribosomal RNA (445 nucleotides) under uncultured bacterium. Its description in RNAcentral is "partial 16S ribosomal RNA". It matches the Rfam family "Bacterial small subunit ribosomal RNA", at positions 354 to 796 of the family's 1533-position model. The record is from RNAcentral.
GUGAGGAAUAUUGGUCAAUGGGCGCAAGCCUGAACCAGCCAUGUCGCGUGCAGGAAGACGGUCCUAUGGAUUGUAAACUGCUUUUAUUUGGGAAUAAACUCCGGUACGUGUACCGGCCUGAAGGUACCAAAUGAAUAAGCACCGGCUAACUCCGUGCCAGCAGCCGCGGUAAUACGGAGGGUGCAAGCGUUAUCCGGAAUCAUUGGGUUUAAAGGGUCCGCAGGCGGUCUUAUAAGUCAGUGGUGAAAGCCUACAGCUCAACUGUAUAACUGCCAUUGAUACUGUAGGACUUGAAUUCGAUCGAAGUGGGCGGAAUGUGACAUGUAGAGGUGAAAUGCUUAGAUAUGUCACAGAACACCGAUAGCGAAGGCAGCUCACUAGGUCUGGAUUGACGCUCAGGGACGAAAGCGUGGGGAGCAAACAGGAUUAGAAACCCCGGUAGUCC